ACUAUUUUAAUUUAGUCAAUUUAUUAAAUUAGAAAUUAAUUGAAAAUCAAUUGACCAUAAUUACAAUGCAAUUGAUCAACUGAGGCUAAAAUUUAAACACUAUUGUCUAAAUUCUCAUUUUUUGGGGCUAUUUAAUAAAGGCCCUAAAUCCCCAAUUCCCAACCAUUCCAACAAAUUUCAACCAGCCCUCUUCCCAAAUCAGGCCCAACAGCCUUCUCCAGCCCAAAAUACCUGACCCAGUCUCCCGAUCAGUGUAUCACCGUCGUAGCUAAUGGUACAAUAACAACAGAAGCAAACAAUAUCAGCAACCAUCUGCCCCAUCAACCCAGCUCAGCAACAGCGGCCCAACAUCAGCAAAACCGACCCGGCACAUCCCUUUCUCCUCUUUAAACGACAGAACAGGCAACAUCAACAGCGUACCACAACAGCAAAAACGCUAAGGGUGUUCAACCCCAACCACCAACCUUAGCCGUUACCCCUCCAUUUACCGAUUUACCCUCAUGAUUCUUCCAUUCAUGGCCAAAGUUCAGAAAGCUUUCACCCUUUUCAGCCCAUGACUCACCAACUUGGGAAACCAUUAAUUCAACUUUUGACCAACCCAACCAACAGCUCGUUUUGGUUUCUUUGUCCUCCUUUUCACUUGUCCGUUCUGAUUUCACUACCAAAUUGAUGCAAAGUCCAGCUUUGUGUAUUGUCAGAUGGAGGAUCUCAAAAAUCUCUUCGUUUUCUUUACAAAAGAUUUCAAAUCCGAAAAUUGGAAACCAUAGCAACCCCCCCCCCCCCCCCAACCCAAUUUUUCCCUAUAAAUAGAGGCUAAGGAGAAGGGGAGGAUUUUUGGGGAAAAAUUGGGGGUUCUGAAGGUGCUUGCCUUGAACCUCACGAAACCAAAAUUCUCAAAGAACCAUCGAAAGAUCAAAAUUCGACGUUCUCGUUCAAAUUCCAUUGGUCAGAAUCAACUCGAGGUGGUGGAAUCUCAUUCGAUUAAAAGCUCGUCGUCCCGGUGUCGCUGCUCGAAAACAGGAUAUGGCUCAACUGCAUUCACACAAAAGGUUCAAGAUAGUUACCGGACCCGGUAACUUCCUGAAACUAUGGUGGAAACACAUGAACGGAGAAGAAAGAAAGAUUGUUAGAACACAUAUCGGGCAUUUGCCUUCGUUGAUCGAGAUGGACGUUUGGCCCAAAAUAAUCCAUAUGCUGACGACCUUUUGGGAUGAUCAGAAUAUGGUGUUUCACUUCGAGGAUGCUGAAUUGACUCCCACUAUAAAAAGGUGUUGAUUUGUUACGAGAGUACUGAAAUGUGUUUCAAAAGAAAAGAGACAUCCGAUAAGUACAUUUUAUUCCCGGUUGUGUGGGACCAUCAAAAGAUCAAGAAAGCCAUUUUAAUUGGUGAUGACACCUAGUUAGGGGAACGUGAUGGGGCAAAUAUCCCUUUUCAUGAGUUGUAUCGCCGGUUCGGAAGGUUUAAUGCUUUUCAUUAGUUCAGACAUAAAUUUGAGUCGGAAGCAAAAUAGAAGGAGACAAGAGCAUUUGCAUUUGCGGUAGGCCUACUUGAAACUAUGGUGUUUCCACAAGGGGAAAAUGGGGCAAUUUAUCUAAGGGUUGUCACGGUGACCCAUGCUCUCUUGUAUGGAAUGAAGUACGGUUCUAAAAAGGUAUUCCAUAACGUAGCUCCCAUGAUUGUAGCCGACAUAUAUCGAGCUUUAGAAAGAUGUCAAGCCGAGAAUCAUUUCUUUCAAGGUUGCAACCUUAUCUUGCAAUGGUGGAUGAUGAUGCAUUUGGUGAAAAAUCCUAGAACAGUACAGCCUGAUCAUAAAACAAGGUAUGAUCUUUUAUCAUCACAUGACAUGUAGUUGUUCCUGCACAAGUUCAAAAGGGAAGCAUCUCUGGGAUUUUGGUUUAAAACUUUUGGAGAGUUAGGGAUGACGAUGUCCAAUGGUCCGUCAAAUAUCUUCGUUCAGGGAGAUACACCAUUCGGGAGGGUGAGUGACCUUUUCUAGUGCUUCCAGGUCUCAGAGGGACCGGUCUCUACAACCCUGGCAGAGUUCUUAGGCAAUUCGAGAUCAAGCAGGAGACACCCCAAAUCGAGUCUAUGCUUAGAUUCUUCAUGAGUAUGAUGAAGACGAGUCUCCGCUCAAAGACUACAUGGUAAAUGGAUGGAGAAGAAGAGGGUGGAAGGAAGUCUCUUUAUAUAUCGAGUAUGAACCCGAAGUCAGCAACACUUACAUGGAGCGGUUGAAAAAGAAUCUGGCCAACGCAUUGAUUCCGAGGUCGAAUAUACCCACUUGGGUUGUUGAUGUAGAAUCAGAGCAUCAAAUCCGACUCCACAGGCUUUGGGAUGAAUUUCAAAAAAGUGAAAUCACGCACCAGCAAAUGCAUAUGGAGGAUGCUUUAACUAUACAUAUGUUGAGGGAAGAGUUAAAGCGAGUCAGGUAGGAGGCUAAUGAUGCUAGGCAGUGUUUGAUUGAUUUGGAUAAUUGCAUGGUUGCUCAGAUCGGCGACAUAGAAAGAUGAACCUACGAGAACAAGGCGCAAUUGUGUGGGAGUCAUUUGAUCAUCAACAUAUAUCAGAUUUGGCAGGUUGUGAACAAGUCUAAGAAGGCAAAGGCAAGCGAAUGAGCAUCUAGUAGCUAGUUUUUCUAUUCCCUUGCGUGGGACCUUAUUUUCUUUCAUGUUAUUUCCCGUUCCCCUAAAGAUUGUAUCCCUCUUUUGUUAUCUUUUGUAAGCAUUUAUGUCCUUUGACAUAUCUAUGAAAAUUGGGAGGAUAAUGGAUUGGCUUUUAAAAGGCAUAUAUUUUCUUCAAAAUUUGCUAGGCCAACCCUUGGCUCAAAGGGAUAACCCAACUAAGAAGCGCGUAUUAUCUGUUGUGUGUGAUAUAACUGUCUUAUGUGAUAUAACUGUUGUUUAUGUGCUAUGUGUGUUGUUAAAUCAAAGGUAAAUUGAUCUACUCCACAACAGAUCCUUAGAAAACCCUUUAGGCAGAAAAUACACACCUACUAUCUAAGGUCCGUCCAAAAUAUAUCAAGUCCCCAAGUUUCUCAGAAAGUCCUCAACUAUUUUCGUAUUUUUAUUCUUUCAGGAAAAUUUAUCAUGGAUUUAAGGACCACACAGCUGAAAUGACGGAUAGUGGAGUUAGCCAAAAUAGAAGAAAUACAAAAAUAAGAGGUCAAGAGAUUGAUUAGGAGGGCCGAUUAGGUCGAGGAGAAAAUUGCUAAAGUCAAGCAGUUGAUCACACAGGAAAAGAAGAAGUUUGAGCAUGCACCUUCAAACUUAAGAGAGGACCGCUGGGCCAAGAUUAAAAGGGAUGUCGUCUGGCCAACUAGGAUCAGGGCAGGAAAUGAAAAAAUCACCCUCAAAGCUCACUCAAAAGGAUACUCUCGGUACCCCCAGCUCAUGACAUGCUCGACAGUCUAUCAGGUUCAAAGAGAUAUGAUAAUCCUCUACCCUAAUCAAAUAGAAGGAUUUGGCUGCCUUCCCGAAGAUGUUCAUAAGAGAUGUCAUUAUCAUCCAAACCAAUGUGGCCACACCAUUGAUCCAGGCAUGCCCAUCAACGACGAGCAGAUUUACAAAUACGACUUCACAAAGUUUGAAGAUACUUACCAUGAAAUCUACUCAAAACUCAUCCAUGCCAAAAUUUUGGAACCAGUAGAAAGGAAGCCUAAUACGAUGUCUAAGGCUUGGAAAAAAAUUUGAGAGGUUUGCCAUUAUUAUGGAGGGAUCAGCGGGCACGACUUGGAGACAUGCCACGCUUUUAAGAUGGAUUUAGAGAGCCUGGUGGAUACAGAAAGGGUCGAGCUGUAAUUCCCGCCAUACCACCUAUAGAAGAUCAAGAUGUGGAAGAAGUAGAAUGGUGUGGGAAUGCCCGCAUCUAUCUAGGACUUAGUCAUUAGUCUUGUCUUUUCUUUCACUGUUUUCCUUUCAUGUUUUCUUGAUGUAAUGAACUCUAAUGGAAUGUCAAUGAAAUGAAGUUUUUUCCCAA
Capsicum annuum is the source of this 3976-nucleotide long non-coding RNA. RefSeq lists it as uncharacterized. Lineage: Eukaryota; Viridiplantae; Streptophyta; Magnoliopsida; Solanales; Solanaceae. The record is from RefSeq and is a predicted model, not a curated record. The transcript is spliced from 2 exons.